ACAUUUUUGGUAAACAAUGUUUGGGAGGCCAUAAGUAAAGUUUCAAUCGGUGAAAACCUUUGAAACUUGAAUAUGUCACUCUAGACUCCCGUAUCUUUCUUUUGACAUCGGCCUCACCAUUUUUGAAUAAGGGAAACAACCGGUAUAAAUUCUUGAAAUCUAGUUCUUAUUCCAUGUACCAUCCAGUAGAGUUUACAAACCUACGACUUUGAGGUGGCAAAGCCCGACUUAAAUCUUUGAUUCUCAAGCCUAGCUUUCUACUGAAUAUUCAAUGACAUGUUGGGAACUUACUUGCUUAGUUUUAGAAUUUUUGGUGAAGCCUAAAGUUGGUUUUCUGAUUUAUGUUAUGAAUCUGCCAAACUUGAACGUUUUUUGUGCACUGAACUUUAGACAGUCAUAUCUUCUAAACCAUGAAUGUUCUUAGAGUAAAUCCAACUGGAGAGUGUUAUGAUCUCUCCCUAGUUUCCAUAUUGACCCUUGGGGUUCCCAGUGGAGUUUUGUAAAGGGAGAUAUGAAUUUUUAAAGAAAGCCCACUGACUUGGUUGUAAUCUGGAAAUCUGAAAUUUUCAGAUUUUUGCUUGUUAAAUACCCAUCUUUGAGAGGGCAUAUCUUGCUCGUUUGAAUUGUUUUUCAUUCGAUUCAAAUUGGAGAAUGAUCCUUGAAAUGUCUAGUUUCCAGAAUGUCUUUUGGAGCAUCAUUUGGAGAUCCGAGGCAGAUUUGGUGUCUGUUGCAAAACAACCCCUUAAGAGCUCAAGUUGUUGAAUUAUUUUCUAUGUAUCAAAGUUUAUUUUAAAGGAUGUUUCAUGAAAGAUUUCGUAUAUGUGCGUAACAAGUUUGGGACUAUUUAUUUUAAAUGAGGUCCGUUCUUUAUUUAAAUUAUGAUGGACUUUUAAUGAAUAUUUUUGGGAUUAAACUCUUAUUUCUUGAUUUAUAUAAAUUAUUUUUUUUAAGGACUUAUAAAUAUGAAUUUCGUAGGCCUACUGACCUACUGUGAUCGACGGUUUGUCGAUGUCUAAUAGCUUUGAAAAUUUUAUAGCAAGUCCUGACAUGAGUCUUGAGUACCCUGGUAAAAUUUCAAGCCAUUCCAACUUCGUUUGAUACUUCUUUAAAAUGCAAAACCUAAACUGCACAUUACUACCGAGAAUUUCAGAAAACAGAUGAAAGAGUCAUUUAUUUCAGUAGCUUCCUGUGUGAUCUAGCUUUCCAAAUUUUUAUGGUAUUCACCUUAUUGUGUUAGCUAGAUAUCCACCAAAGUUGAGCCCAGUUUGACAACGUUUACUAUUUUUAAAAAAUCCAAGUUUUCGAUUGUUCAAAACUGCCGAACAUGGUAGAUCGUGGUAAAAACGUCAUAUCUCUCAAACCACUUGGAGUUUUCGACUCUACUUUUUUUUAUAUGAAACUAGAUUCGAAGAUCUUUCUUUCAGUAUGAGUCUCGAGUCCAGGAGAUGUCGGAGUCAGAACAGAUUAAAUUUUGAAGUUGAGUCAGUGUAAAAACAGAGCAUGUUUUAAUGAUGUUUUUGGACUUCGGACUUUAAAGCGAACUAUUAUCAUUUAUUUCUUUAAAGCCACUGGUUUAUUUAAUUAAUUGGCUACUCUCUUUUGAGCCUAUUAAUUAUUUGAGGUUACGCUAGUAAUGAUGUAACGAAUUAUGGAUGCUAGAACCCUAAAACACUAAAAGAUACCCUAGGCACGUAGAAUUAGACUUUGUCUUAUGACAAUUACUUCACGAACUUAUCGACUCUUCAUCAAUGAAGGUCCGGGCGACAGAAAGUGAAGCCGAAGAAGAAACGACUCCACGCCAGCUUUAAGAACAAUUGAGAAUGCCGCCUAAGAGAGGACGCCCUGCGAGAAAUAAUAACAAUCGCAGAAACCGUAACGCUGUACCCGAAGAACCACAAGAUGCUCGAGGACAUAACCCAUCCCUCCGCCCCCAACUAGGAGAGUCGAAGAACUCUUUUUAAGGCAAAAUCCGCCUACGUUUGACGGAACGAGUGAACCAGCUGAAGCUGAGAUUUGGGUGCGUGCAAAUGAGCGCAUCUUCAACUUUCUACAUUGUACUGAUGAGGAGCGCCUAUCUUGCGUCUCAUUCCAGCUAACAUGAUCAGCGGAUUUCUGGUGGGAAACACGACGAAAAAUUCUGACACCUGAACAAUGGGCAAGUUAUACUUGGGAAGAUUUUAAGACAGGAUUAUAUGAUAAAUAUAUUCCGAAAAGCUAUAGGAAGAAGAAAGAAGUUAAGUUCUACGAGUUGAAGCAAGGAAAGAAAUCUGUGGUUGAAUAAAACAAGGAAUUUCACCUUGCCCAAAUUGUGGUAAGAUGCAUAGGGGUGUCUGUCGUGCCGGGACUAACGGUUGUUACAAUUGUGGCCAAAAGGGUCACUACUCCACGCAAUGCCCCAACAAACAACGAGGUUCAACAAUUGAGAACAGCCACACCCCCUUGCCAGCAAUACGUGGACACUUGCGAAAUCAGUUUCAAUCACAUCAGUGAAAAUCUUAUGGAGGCACCGCAGAUAUAAAAAAAAUUACGUGGGAGUUUGAAGACAAAAUGAAAGAGAAGUACCCGGAUUGUUUUAACAGAGAUAUGCAAAUUUCGGGACGAAAUUUUUGUUAAGAGGGGUAGUAUGUAGUAGCCCGCUCUUUUAUUUAUGAUAAAAACUAGUAAAUGCAAUUUUUAUAAAUGAAUCCAGUUUAUGGUCCUGAUUUUUUUUAUCAGAGACGGAGUUAUUAUUUUAGCUUUAUACUUUUAUAACGUAUAAGAAAAACGCGACGAGGAUUAUUGAGCCAUUCAAUAAUUUAUUAUCCAGUUUGAUAACUGACUUAGCAAAGUCAAGUUAUUAAUUUAUAUGCGAUAGAAAUAGUAUUUCUAUUAUUUACUUGAAGUCGUGAUUAAUUUUCGACUUAUAAAACGAAUUAUAAAAUAUGUAAUUCGUAGAGAGUUAUAACGAAGCGUCGUUAUUUAGUAGAACCCAAUAUUAGUUUUACAAAUACUUGUAACUUCAAUACUUUACAAAUCAUUAUUUUUCCACUCCCUAAUGUUUCCUACACUAUACACGCAUAAUCUCCACUUCUCCACUCCACCAACUAUCUCCAUCACCUUUUGCUUUCUUCCACUACAUUUUUUCUCACCACCCUUUCCACUCCACUAAUUCCACUACACCAAACUUUCCACCUACUCCCUUCCCCACCACACGCAAGAAUGCAUCUAACAUUCCAUUAUACAGGCAACAAUCUUUUCAUCAUCUUCAUUCUUCACUAAGGAACCGAAGAGCAGCCACGAGUUCUGCCAUAAGCACACUGCUCCGGCAGUGUUUUGCAAGGCGAUUCCAGCCAUCCAAAAGGUCCGGGCGACAGAAAGUGAAGCCGAAGAAGAAACGACUCCACGCCAGCUUUAAGAACAAUUGAGGUGGGCAAUUUCUUACGCGUAAAUAAAAUGCUAUGCAAGUGUUAUGCUUUAAAAUGCAAAUUGGAUCUUCAAGUAUGGUAUGCUUUAUUACGCUUAAAUGAGUUAAGCUUUAUUAUGAUGCACAUUAAAUGAUUACGCUUAUUUACGCUUGAAUGCUUUACGCUGAUAAGUUUAUGCUUAUGUUUGAUGCUUGCGUCUGUUGGGGGAGGCCUCCCUCAACAGUACGAUGCCGUGUCCGCUGAGGAGGGCCUUCCUCACGGCGCGAUGCCCGUGUCCGCUGAGAGAGGCCUCUCUCGCGGCGCGAUGCCAGUAUGCCAGUGUUACAGCGUCUAUUGGGGGAGGCCUCCCUCAAUAGUACGAUGCCGUGACCGCUGAGGGAGGCCCCCUUCACGGCGCGAUGCCCGUGUUCGUUGGGGAAGGCCUUCUCCACGACACGAUGCGUGUUUAUGAUUAUUGAUGAUGAAGAAUGCGCUCAUGCUAUUUAUGAAUUUGGAAAUGUUUAAUGAGCAAAGGAUUUGAAAGAAACUUAUGCCUCUUAUGCGAUGUUGUGAAAUUGUUAAUGAUGUUAUGUUAUAUGCUUGGCAACUGCCCACUAAGUACUCUUGUACUUAGCCUUUCGAUGUUUAUGUUUGUGCAGGUUGAGCUGUGAUGGGCGAUGAAGUGUUGUUGCUGAGUGGAGUUUUUGUCGAACUUAAAGUAGGCUCAGAAAGGAUACAUGUCUUCAUACAUGUAUCUCAGUUAUGCAUUCCGCUGUAAACACUGAUUAUUUCAGUUACACCUUCCGUUGCAAACUCUGAUAAUGUUUUAGCCAAGCCCCUAACGAUGCCUUUUUCCUUUUUAAGGAAUAUAACGCGUAUACAAGUUCUUUGAGUACCCUUUUUAUGCGAACUAUGCCUUUUUCCUUUUUAAGGAAUAUUUCACGCGUA
Salvia miltiorrhiza (redroot sage) is the source of this 4331-nucleotide long non-coding RNA. RefSeq lists it as uncharacterized. The transcript is spliced from 3 exons. Lineage: Eukaryota; Viridiplantae; Streptophyta; Magnoliopsida; Lamiales; Lamiaceae. The record is from RefSeq and is a predicted model, not a curated record.